This 148-nucleotide non-coding RNA is filed under the name Gorilla gorilla gorilla (western lowland gorilla). The record is from Rfam by way of RNAcentral. Lineage: Eukaryota; Metazoa; Chordata; Mammalia; Primates; Hominidae.
GCCGGGCGUGGUGGCGCAUGCCUGUAAUCCCAGCUACCCAGGAGGCUGAGACAGGAGAAUCACUUCAACCCGGGAGGCGGAGGUUGCAGUGAGCCGAGAUCAUGCCACUACGCUGCAGCCUGGGUGGUACAGAGAGACCCUGUCUCAA